Non-coding RNA from Chlorocebus sabaeus (green monkey), 3973 nucleotides. Lineage: Eukaryota; Metazoa; Chordata; Mammalia; Primates; Cercopithecidae. The record is from RefSeq and is a predicted model, not a curated record.
CGAGGUGGGAGGAUGGCUUGAGCCUGAGAGGUUGAGGCUGCAGUGAGCCAUGAUAGUGCCCCUGCACUCCAGCCUGGGCUCAGUAAAAAGAAUUAUUUCCAAAUGGAGGCCAAGGACAGAGGAUCGCCCAAGUCCAGGAAUUUGAGUCCAGCUUAGGCAACAUAGUGAGACCCUGUCUCUAAAACUAAAAAUUUAAAAAAAAGGAAAGAGACUUAUUUCCAACUCACAGAUUAUAUUUAGGUUAAAAUAACAAAUACUUAGGUACCCAGUUCUAACGAAGCAUGGCACUGACUUCUGUAUUUUAAUCCAUCAAACCUGACAAAGUUAAAGCCCUCUCUGAUGGUCCAUCAUUUCUAGUUAUUAGAAAGCCCUUUCAGAUCUAGCAGAAACACCCUGUGAAGUCCAUUCCUGAGUCCUCGUUCCACCAUUGGCAGCACUGCCACGUGUCUGCCCUCACCCACCAGCCACGUAUGGUCUGUGGCCAUGGGCUCACGUUUUGUCUCUGUGGCGCUCACUGUCCCGUGGAGGGGGCUCCAGCCAGCCCCCUGCAUCCUUGGCACUCCAUGGUCACCUGUUGCUGUCUGCGGCCAGCCCUGAGGCCCAGGCCCCAGCCACUCUGCUGUUAGGAGUUUGGUACAGGAAUAGGGAAAAGGGAGAGGGCUGUAGCAGGAGCCGGCUCUAAAGAUCCUCUCCUGUUGUUCCAAGGAGUCAGUCUUUUUCUGCGGGCAAGCCAUGGAAGGAUUUUAAGUAGCAGAGUGACACCAUCAGACUUCGGCCUUACCCGAUUGAUUCAUCCUGCCUCAAGGGGCCCAGGUCAGGUGGUCAGGAAAGGCCUGGACAGUGAGAGCGAGUCCAGGUUGCCGCAGGCUUUUAGGUGAAAGACAAGAGGCCCCAAAGACCUCUUGAGUAGAGAUGAGAGGGAGGAGGAGGAGACCUUUCCAGACCUGGUGAGUUACAGGCCAUGAGGAGUGAAAAAGAAGAUGGGAUUAAGAUUUCUGGCUCUGGGGACUGUCCUCCCAGGGCAGCCAGAAGCCUGGUCCUUCCAGUCUCGGUGGUCCUUGUGGAUUUCAGCUGAAUGGAACUGUCCUUUGUGGCUUUGAAGGGUUAUGUAUCGGGGAAGAGGGACUAUCUCUCACCCAAACCAGGACACCUAAAGAUAGCAAAGGUUACCUGCUCCCCGGAGAAACCUGUUGCUGGGAGUGUCAGUGAGGCUUGUUAGCAAGGAAUGGCCUGCACCAUGGGAUGCGUUGGGCCACCUGGUCCCAGGGGUGCGGUGGUAUAAGUGGUGAGGGAUGGGGGAGCUGUUGAGGAGGACCAGACGUACUCUCCCCACCAGGAAUGGGUUGAGAGAGCUCCUGAGCACAAAGAGGAAGUUCCUGUCAAUUCAAGGAGACCCCUGUGUGAGAAGAAGGGUGGGAAGGCUCCAAAGGGGGUCUUCACGGCAGCGGCUUACAUAGACACUCCUGUCUAGUGUCGGGUAGGAGGAUGGCACUAAUGGCUGCUGCCAUCUGUGCCAGCUAGCAGCUACCUGCCCCACUCCAUCAUUGUUAUUUAUAUUACCUAGGACUCUGCUGUGUUGCCGGUGCCAGCCCCUGCUGGGGCAUAUGGAGGUCAUGGAGGACAGGGCAUGGGCGCACGAGGACGCAGCUCCAUCCGGCUGCUCGCCUGUGGCUUUUUCUGCUCAGGAGUCACGUUUUGGCUGGUGCUUCCCUGAUCCAUGGGAGCAGAUUGAGGAAGGUGGUUUGACCUUCUCCUGCCUCUGCCUAGGGCUUAGUUCUUUCAGAAAUGAGCAUUGGGAUCAGAGUAGGGAAUGCUGCUCUGUUGCUAUUGGGAAGACAAGGGUCAGAAUUACCAAGUUCAAACUGCCCCCAGAUGUCCCACCUCCUACUUGGAACUCCACUCUAGUGAUGGAAAUGUUAGUGUAUUUUUGGUCCUUUUGGCACUAACUACCCUGUCAUUCUUUUCGAGUUUCUGAUUCUUGAGAGGCAAGUAGUCUACUGUUUGGGAGCUAGGCAGCCUAGUUUGGGAUCCCAGCCCUGCUUCUCACUAGCAGCAUGACCUGGGGAGGUUACUUAGCCUCUGUGCACCUUAGUUUCCUCAAGUCUGAGGUGGGAAUAAUAUUACCUACUUUGCCGGGUUGUUGUAAGAACUAAGUGGGUUAAUAGAUAGAUACAGGGUAUUUAGAUAGGUAUCAGUUAUCUGUUGAUAACAAUAUUACCUUCUUCCCAGGGUUGUUGUAAGAACUAAGUGGGUUAAUAGAUGCAAUGUAUUUAGAUAGGUGUCAGUUAUCUGUUGCCCUUGUAACAAAUCACUGCCCCAACAGAGUGCCUUAAGAUGGCAACAUUUAUUUUGCUUGAGUUUGCAGUUUGAGCAGGGCUUGGUGGAGCUGCCUUUUUGCUGUUGUAUGUAGCUGGGGCUGGAGGAUCUAUUUUUGAGAUGGCUCCUUGAUGUGGCAGAGAAGUUGGUGCUACCCCUUGGCUGGGUGCUCAGCUGGGCUGUGAACUGGGGCCUUGAGUCUUCUCUUUCCACCAGCUGCUUGGGCUUCCUUACAAAAUGGUCGAUCGGUUCCACAAGUAAGUGCCCCAAGAGAAUAAGGUGAAAGUAUUUUUAUAACCUCAAAAGUCAUGAGGUUCCCUGUUCUCUGUUAGUCACAGCAGUCAUGAAGGCUCACCUGAUUUCAAGAGGAAGAGAGACAGCUUCUAUCUAUGUAUGGAAAAGUGGCAAGGUUCCAGAAGAGCGUGGUAGGUGAAAGAUAAUGCGGUGGCCAUUUUUGGAAAAUAAAAUCUGCCAUAGGAUAGGUUUUGGCAUACAGUAAACCUCAAUAAAUGUUCGCUACCAGUAGAUUAAAAUCAUCAUCUGCAUUCCUCAUUCCUGACUCCUCUUCCUUAGAGCGGGUGGUAGUACAGCAUAGUGGUUAAGUGCAUCUGCUCUGGAGGCAAGCUGCUAGGGGCCAAAGCCUGGUUCAGCCCUUACAGCUGUGUGAUCUUGGACAGAUUGCUUAACCUCUUGACAAAUUUAUUGAAAGAUACAAACACCAAAGCUUUCUCAGUAAGAAUAGAAAACCUGAGUGGCCCUAUAUGUACUGAAGAAGGUUAAUACGUAAUAAAAACUUCCCUAGAAAGAAAACUUCAGGCCCAGAUAGCUUUCCUGGUGAACGCUAUACAUUAGGGAAGAAAUAAUAUGAAUUUGUCCCAAAGUCUUCCAGAAAAUUGAAAAGGAGGAAAUAUUUUCUAGCACAUUUUAUGAGACCAGCAUUACCUUGAUACCCAAACCAGCAAAGACAUCACAAGGAAAGAAACAUCAGACCAACAUUCUACGUGGAUAUAGAUGCAAAAAAUUUAAACAAUUUUAGCAAAUGCAAUAAUAUAUAAAAAGGAUAAUACAUCAUGACUAGAGGGACUUAGCUCAGGAAUGCAGGAUUGGUUUAAUGUUCAAAAACCAAUCAUUGUAAUUCACUAUAUUAACCAAAGGAGAAAGAAAAACCAUAUACAGACUGACUAUCCCUUAUCCAAAAUGCUUGGGGCCAGAAGUAUUUCUGAUUUUUAAUUUUUUUCAGAUUUUGGAAUAUUUGCAUUAUACUUAUUGGUUGAGUAUUUCUAACCUGAAAAUAUGAAAUCCAGAAUGCUCCAGUGAGCAUUUUCUUUGAGUGUCAUGUUGGUACUCAAAGAGUAUGGAAUUUUGGAGCAUUUGGAUUUCAGAUUUUCAGAUUAGGGAUACUCAAGCUGAAAUCAUCUCAAAGUAGACAAAGUAUUUGACAAAAUCCAGCACCUAUUCAUGGUAAGAUCUCACAACAAACUAGGCAUAGAAAGGAAUUUCCUCAGCCUGAUAAAGGGUAUCUACGAGAAACUUCUAGCUUACAUCAUACUGAGUGGUGAAAAACUAAAUGCUUUUCCCCUAAGAUCAGGAAUGAGACAAAGAUAUCCCUUCUUAUCAUUUUUGUUCAGUAUUGUAAGGGAGGUUCUAAACAGUGCCA